AAAAAUAGAAGAAGUAUUACCUGAUUUUCCAUGUGACAAACAAAAAGUUAUAUUUGCUGGAAAUAUAUUAGUAAAUGAAAAUAAAGCAGUAGAUAUAUUAAAAGAUAACGAUGUUAUUAUUGUUAUGGUAGCACAAAAUAAAUAUGUAAAUAAAAUAAAAAAAGAUAACGCAAAAGAUAACGCAAAAGAUAACGCAAAAGAUAACGCAAAAGAAAACGCAAAAGAAAACACUACUGAAUAUUUAUUAUCAAAUCCUAUGGUAACAACAAAUGAUAAUAAAUUAACUAGUACCAGUAAUAAAAAUAACUUUUUAACAAAUGAAAAAGAGACAAAAGAAGAUGAUCAAAACAGUGACAAUAUAAAUGUGAAUAAUGCAGAGUCUACAUUAUUAACUGGUGACAAAUUAAAAGAGGUAAUAGAAAAUAUCUGUUCUAUGGGUUUUGAUUAUGCUUUAGUAAAAAAAGCAAUGGCAAUGGCAUACCGUAAUCCUAAUAGAGCAAUUGAAUACUUAACAAAUGGGCUAGUAUUAGGAAAAGGAGAAAGCAUUGAAUCCACUGAACUUAAUGAAAUUCACGAAACAAACGAAGAAAACAACACACACGACACGAACGACACAAACGAUACAAACGACACACAGGAAACACAGGAAACACAUGACACGAGUGAAAUAUUGGAUAAUAUAUAUGAAAGAGAAGCUAACGAAAAUACUUCUGAAUUAUCCAACUUUUUAACAAAUCAUUAUUCAACAAAUGCAAAUAAUACACAAAACUUAACAGAAAAUAUAAAUUAUAAUAAUAGUGAUAAUAGUAGUCAUAUUGAAGCUAUUAGAAAUUCUCCAUUUUUUAACAUUUUAAGAAAUGUUGUCUUAUCAAACCCACAAAGGAUACCAGAUAUUCUUGAUUUAAUUGGUACAACUGAUCCUUCUUUUUUAUCAUAUAUAAGAGAAAACCAAAAUGCAUUUUUAAGUGCUCUACAAAAUUAUACAAAUGAAAAUACACCCAGCUCAGAACAAAACAUAAUGGAUUCUACAAAUUUAUCAUUAGAACAACAAAGUAACCAUAAUUUAACUGACAUGAAUAAUGAAAAUUAUAGCAUACCUGUCACAACAUUAAAUGAAAAAGAAUUAGAGAGUGUACAC
RNAcentral lists this long non-coding RNA (1138 nucleotides) under Piliocolobus tephrosceles (Ugandan red Colobus). Its description in RNAcentral is "lncRNA (ENSPTEG00000014697.1)". Lineage: Eukaryota; Metazoa; Chordata; Mammalia; Primates; Cercopithecidae. The record is from RNAcentral.